UGACCUCAAAUCAGGUAGGACUACCCGCUGAACUUAAGCAUAUCAAUAAGCGGAGGAAAAGAAACUAACAAGGAUUCCCCUAGUAACUGCGAGUGAAGCGGGAAAAGCUCAAAUUUAAAAUCUGGCAGUCUCUGGCUGUCCGAGUUGUAAUCUAGAGAAGUGUUAUCCGCGCUGGACCGUGUACAAGUCUCCUGGAAUGGAGCGUCAUAGAGGGUGAGAAUCCCGUCUUUGACACGGACUGCCAGGGCUUUGUGAUGCGCUCUCAAAGAGUCGAGUUGUUUGGGAAUGCAGCUCAAAAUGGGUGGUAAAUUCCAUCUAAAGCUAAAUAUUGGCGAGAGACCGAUAGCGAACAAGUACCGUGAGGGAAAGAUGAAAAGAACUUUGGAAAGAGAGUUAAACAGUACGUGAAAUUGCUGAAAGGGAAACGCUUGAAGUCAGUCGCGUUGGCCAGGGAUCAACCUUGCUUUUGCUUGGUGCACUUUCUGGUUGAUGGGUCAGCAUCAAUUUUGACUAUUGGAAAAAGGUCAAGGGAAUGUGGCAUCUUCGGAUGUGUUAUAGCCCUUAGCUGCAUACAAUGGUUGGGAUUGAGGAACUCAGCACGCCGCAAGGCCGGGUUUUUAACCACGUACGUGCUUAGGAUG
This 641-nucleotide ribosomal RNA is filed under the name Thaxterogaster mutabilis. RNAcentral's name for it is "eukaryotic LSU rRNA". It matches the Rfam family "Eukaryotic large subunit ribosomal RNA", at positions 1 to 625 of the family's 3401-position model. The record is from RNAcentral. Lineage: Eukaryota; Fungi; Basidiomycota; Agaricomycetes; Agaricales; Cortinariaceae.